UCGGCAGAGCAGGCACAGCGGUGCGACGA
RNAcentral lists this non-coding RNA (29 nucleotides) under Homo sapiens (human). The record is from RNAcentral. Lineage: Eukaryota; Metazoa; Chordata; Mammalia; Primates; Hominidae.